Triticum aestivum (bread wheat) is the source of this 3458-nucleotide RNA transcript. RefSeq lists it as uncharacterized. The transcript has 6 exons. The record is from RefSeq and is a predicted model, not a curated record. NCBI's taxonomy places the organism in Eukaryota, Viridiplantae, Streptophyta, Magnoliopsida, Poales, Poaceae.
UCCUCUCCCUCCCGUGGUCUACCUCCAAAUAAACAGCUCGCCGGCGAUGGAAGAGGUGUGUGGCGAGCGAGCGACCCCGGAGGAGCAUAAACGAAGAUGCAGAGGUGCGUAGAAGACGACUGUCGGCGAGCGGAGGUGUGGUGCUUCCAGCUACAACGGCAGCCUGUGGAUGCUGGCAAGAGGUACAACCAUGGCGGCCAGCUGCUGGAAUCCGCACAAUUUUUUUGCUUCAAUCGGCGUUCAAUUUUUUUGUUGAAACUAGCGAUGUUCUGUAUGUUUUUGCUACCACCGUUUUGUAUUUUGCUGGAACCAGCCUCGUUUUUUGCUACCACUGUGUUUUCGCUUUGCGAACCAGCCCUCGACUUUGCAUUUUUGCUACAACCAUGGAGGCCAGAUGCUGGAACCCGCACACAUUUUUGCUUCCAUCGACGUUUUGGUUUUACUAAAACUAGCGUUGUCUUUUGUAUUUUUUGCUACCACCCUUUUGUAUUUUUGCUGGAACCAGCGUCGAUUUUUGCUACCAUCGCCUUUUUGAUUUGCUGGAACCAGCCCUAAACUUUGCAUCUUUGCUACCACCGGUGUUCUGGUUUGCUGGAACCAGUUUCAAUUUUUCCUACCAUCAAGGUUCGGUUUGUUGGGACGCCGUCUAAUUUCUGAAAUUUUUGCUACUACCGUUUUUUGGUUUGCUGGAACCAGCCCCAAUUUUUGCUACAACUGUCGUUUGCUGUGAGACCACAGAGUCGUCGUCAUUUGUUUCUACAGGAGGGCGAGGGAGGGGGAUGGGCAUCACCGGCGAGGUGAAGUGAUUUUUUGCUGGAACUGUGUUAAUUUUUUGCUACGACCCAUGAUUUAUUUUGUAGUGACCAGCAAAUUGAGGGCGAGAUACGACGCGAGCUCGACGACGGGGCGCUGCGGCCAUCUCCACCAGGGUUGCCAUGGCCGGUAAGCACGGUCGCCCAAGUAUGCGGCGGCGAGCAUGGGUUGCCGGUGAACACGAUGCCGAGAACGAGCGUGGGGCGGCCAAUGAUGCGUCGGCAAGAGCAUGUUGCCGGCGAGCAUGAGGCCGUGGACGAGCGCGGGCGGCCCAAGGAUGCUUCGGCGAGAGCGGGUUGCCGGCAAGCAUGAGGCCGAGGAUGAGCGCAGGCGGCGCAAGUGGAAGGCGAGCACGGUGCUGGAAAAAGCUGCACGAGACGGUGAAAUACAGGGACCUGCGCGAGGGCGAGAUGCGUCAGGAGGAAGAUAAUGUCCGGAAGAAUCGUUUCCUUUUUCUAUAUAUCCAACGGCCAGGGCUAGUGGCAUCUGGCGGCUAGGGUGCGACCGGCCGAAACUUUCGGCCGGCGCACCGGCGCCCAGUAUUGCCCAUAUACGAAGGUCUAUAUUGAAGAUACCCCAAUAUCCCAAACCCUGACAAAAUCUCUAGAACGCAAAUACAAGACCCCGUUGGGAAGUUUUGUUUCGAAGUCAAAAGCCUACACGACUCUGUAACAUCACCACGCACGCGGCCGCAACUUCGGCCAACCUCGCCUCCUCUCCUCCCCUCCCCCUGUUCCUCGAUGAGGCUACGGCCUCUGCCGUCGAGGAGGCGACGUUGGCCUGGCCCUCCGGCUAUGGGGGUACGGACCAAGCGUGGUCGUAUUCCUCCGGAGGGGACGAUCACAAGUAUAGGUGAGCCGCCUGUUCGCCGCCGAUGUCAUCCUCCCUCUCUGAAUCCACCCACGGCGCCGGCCGGUGUAAACCUGAUCUUGAGUAGCAGGAUUCCUUAUCUGUAGUAGCACUAGCAUAUGCACGCCGCGUGGCAAACACAUAGAUCGAUCGAUUCAUACUCGAUCCUACAGAUUUCAACCCCACAUACCGUGGGCUAAUUAGGGUUUUGGCAUUUGGUUAGAUUAGAUGGUACCUGAAUGGCCCAUUGGUCUUCGUGUGGUUUUUUCUUGUUCAGCUAAAGUUUACUGAACUUGUCAUGCAGCUUACAAAUUGGGGAACCACGGGCUGAUGCUGCUGCUGUUGGAGACGCCCUCGGGCUUUGCAAUUCUAUCUUUCGACGGGGCCCAGCUCUAUCUACCAGGCGCCAAGGAGAAUAUCUGGUCGAACUUCGGAGCGGAAUAUAUGGCACGAUAUAUUAUUUGGCUCAAACAAUUCAAAAAGUUCAAGGACAAGUCUAGCGCCAUUAGGUUCGAUACUGGUGUUUGCAGAAGGCUGUCUAAGUUCAUCAAGAGGUGGCGCCGUCCUGGGCAGAUGUUAGUUGUUGGGAAACCUGAGUAUAAAACAAUCAUAGAAGCGAGCAUGGGCAUACCUUGCGUUUUCGAUGAAACUGUGAUGGAGGUGAUGUGGGGCGUGAAGCAUAUCAUGCAUAGUCUGGUGCCUAUGGAAAAAAUCUGAGCUGACUAAGGAGGAGCGCCUCCCCAUGAGUCAAGGACUAAUAAAGUUCCUGAAUCGUAAAGGCUUUGAUGUCAAACCAGAGAUGGUGAGUUUACCAGUUGCCCAGUCAAUGAGCGCAUUGUUCUGUCAGCAUGUGCCUUGUAUGAUUGCGAUGAAAUCGAGAAGAAACAUGAUCGGUCCUUGAGACGUGCCGGUGAGCAACUUAAGGAUGUGUCUGGCAUCAACACCCAGGGCUGGAGCUUACUGGAACUUUCAACAGCUCUGAUGCUUAUAUGUUUUUCUGAAGAAGAAAUUCUAGUUGGUGAUCCGGAAGAGUUAUUUACAGCUGAGGAGCUGUGUAAGUUCCAGGAUGAUGCACACGAAUACGACGACAAGAUCUCAAAGUACCCAUGCCGAAGAAUCUACGAAGAACUAGUGUGUGCCUUUGAAGCUAGAGCAGCGAAUAGAAUACUUUUGACCUCCUUGGUUAAGGAGGCAAGUGCGCGUUUCUCUCCGGUACCCGAAGCUUGCAAAGUACAACCAUGGCAUAUAGCUAAGAAUAGCAUCAAUUCAUUCGAUCACCCACGGAGAAAAUUGGUAAUGCCGGCCCCUGCUAUUGAGCAAGUUUGUAGAACAAAGAAGACCGUGCAGCCCUCGAGAUGGGUGCGGAUGCUUUCCAACGUGAAGCUCUUGCCUCACAUGCUCACGGCUUUCAUGAAGCGGGAGCUCGGGUCCUGCAGAUUGCUGCGGGAGAUCAUGACGAAGGUACAUCGCUGGAGGAAGAUGAAGCUGUUGACAUGCAGGAAGAUUGAGAAGACUGUUGGUGGUACAGCUUGCUAAUGCAAAGAAGAAGUCCAACGGCUUCGAGAUCCACGUCAGAUCGAGUGAAGUCGGCAUCCAGCACGGAUACACCAGUGCGAGCAUCAUCGAUUCUAUCAACCGACGCGAGGAUUCCCGAUUUUUUUUCCUUUUUGAUUGAGGGUUAGCGAUCGACUGGCUGCUUUUUCUUAAAGACAUGUAAUUCUAUUCAUACUGAUAACAAUUACAGGUACACUGAUUUGGGUAAAAAAUACAAAGUAAUUCCUAUCUUUUCUUUUAUA